RNAcentral lists this ribosomal RNA (465 nucleotides) under uncultured bacterium. Its description in RNAcentral is "partial 16S ribosomal RNA". It matches the Rfam family "Bacterial small subunit ribosomal RNA", at positions 28 to 507 of the family's 1533-position model. The record is from RNAcentral.
GACGAACGCUGGCGGCGUGCUUAACACAUGCAAGUCGUACGGUAAGGCCCUUUCGGGGGUACCCGAGUGGCGCACGGGUGAGUAACACGUGAGUAACCUGCCCACAACUUUGGGAUAACGCUAGGAAACUGGUGCUAAUACUGGAUAUGUGCUCCUGCUGCAUGGUGGGGGUUGGAAAGCUCCGGCGGUUGUGGAUGGACUCGCGGCCUAUCAGCUUGUUGGUGGGGUAGUGGUCUACCAAGGCGGCGACGGGUAGCCGGCCUGAGAGGGUGACCGGCCACAUUGGGACUGAGAUACGGCCCAGACUCCUACGGGAGGCAGCAGUGGGGAAUAUUGCACAAUGGGCGCAAGCCUGAUGCAGCAACGCCGCGUGCGGGAUGACGGCCUUCGGGUUGUAAACCGCUUUCAGCAGGGACGAAGCUUUUUGUGACGGUACCUGCAGAAGAAGCACCGGCUAACUACGUG